This 428-nucleotide long non-coding RNA is filed under the name Olea europaea (common olive). RNAcentral's name for it is "long non-coding RNA (OEUR_LNC007327)". The record is from RNAcentral. Lineage: Eukaryota; Viridiplantae; Streptophyta; Magnoliopsida; Lamiales; Oleaceae.
GUCGCGAGGAGCUGGGGAGCCUUAUAGUUUUCGGAAAUGGACUCGUGGUUCGAUGACAUGGCAACGCAAGGCUCGGUGAGUUGGCAUUCUAGGUGGCGUAAGCGUGGUAGGUUGCGUCCCUUCGUCCUUCGUGGCGGUUGAUGUACGCGUGGCAUCCGCAUGACUGUGACUGUUCAGAAAUUGGUGAAUAGGCAUGAUGAAUGGACACUUCACUUCAUGGUUCAAUCUGGGCUGUCAGAUCAUGAAAAUAGUGCGAUCCAAUGGCUAAGACGAAUCAGACCAAGUGGUGCACCAGUUCCUGAAAUGUCACACACCUAUUCCAUGAGACACUUCAAUCUCUAUAAAUAGAGAACCCCAGAUUCGUUUUUGACACACCAAAUCAAUUACAAAUUCAAUUGAUUUCUAAAUUCUUCUCUCUCUAUAUUCUG